This 465-nucleotide ribosomal RNA is filed under the name uncultured bacterium. RNAcentral's name for it is "partial 16S ribosomal RNA". It matches the Rfam family "Bacterial small subunit ribosomal RNA", at positions 338 to 795 of the family's 1533-position model. The record is from RNAcentral.
CCUACGGGAGGCAGCAGUAGGGAAUCUUCCACAAUGGGCGCAAGCCUGAUGGAGCAACACCGCGUGAGUGAAGAAGGGUUUCGGCUCGUAAAGCUCUGUUGUUGGGGAAGAACGUGCGUGAGAGUAACUGUUCACGGAGUGAUGGUAUCCUACCAGGAAGUCACGGCUAACUACGUGCCAGCAGCCGCGGUAAUACGUAGGUGGCAAGCGUUAGCCGGAAUUAUUGGGCGUAAAGCGAGCGCAGGCGGUUGCGUAGGUCUGAUGUGAAAGCCUUCGGAUUAACCGGAGAAGUGCAUCGGAAACCGGGCGACGAGAGUGCAGAAGAGGACAGUGGAACUCCAUGUGUAGCGGUGGAAUGCGUAGAUAUAUGGAAGAACACCAGUGGCGAAGGCGGCUGUCUGGUCUGCAACUGACGCUGAGGCUCGAAAGCAUGGGUAGCGAACAGGAUUAGAUACCCUUGUAGUC